CCUACGGGAGGCAGCAGUGGGGGAUAUUGCACAAUGGGGGGAACCCUGAUGCAGCGACGCCGCGUGGGUGAAGAAGCUCCUCGGCGCGUACAGCCCUGUCAGCCGGGAAGAAAAUGACGGUACCUGAAGAAGAAGCCCCGGUUAACUACGUGCCACCAGCCGCGGUAAUACGUAGGGGGCCAGCGUUAUCCGGAUUUACUGGGUGUAAAGGGGGCGCAGACGGCGAUGCAAGCCAGGAGUGAAAGCCCUGGGCCCAACCCCGGGACUGCCUUUGGAACUGCGUGGCUGGAGUGGAGGAGGGGCAGGCGGAAUGCGUGGUGUAGCGGUGAAAUGCGUAGAUAUCAGGAGGAACACCGGUGGCGAAGGCGGCCUGCUGGACUGCAACUGACGUUGAGGCCCGAAAGCGUGGGGAGCAAACAGGAUUAGAUACCCCAGUAGUC
RNAcentral lists this ribosomal RNA (440 nucleotides) under uncultured bacterium. Its description in RNAcentral is "partial 16S ribosomal RNA". It matches the Rfam family "Bacterial small subunit ribosomal RNA", at positions 338 to 795 of the family's 1533-position model. The record is from RNAcentral.